CGCGCCGCGGCCGGUUUACGUCUCGCGCCGUGGAAUGCGUGCUUCUUCCUUUUCUCUUUCCCGCUUCACCGCCAACUUUUAUUGGCCGAAGCAAUUAAUUGUAUGAUCACGUGUUACUUCUAUGCGCGAUAUGGCUCGGCCAUAUUGACUUUGCCGUGGUACACCAACCCUGGUAUCACAUUAAUAUGGGAAACACAAAGGAGAAUCUGAGAAGAAUUGGAGAAGAGAUAAAAGAAUAUAAAAAAGGAAAACGAAAAGCGCAAAAGAAAAUAAGAGGAUAAAGCAAAACGUUUCUUACUACGUCAAGUAUAAGAUAGGGUGGUCUUCAUCCGCAAAAGUGCCCCACGGGAGCUGCGUCAACGUCUUACAGAAGAAGCAGAACCCCCUUCGUUUCCCGAUCCUUUUGGCCUUUCAAGUUACCUCUUCACGGAUCUUCACGGAUGGGCAAGAUCACAACGGCAACGAGUUUUCUGGACGGACGUCACUCAGAUUCCGACCUUCUACCAUUCUUCUUUCCCGUUAUGAUUUAUGGAUUCAUUAAUGCAACAUACAACACUUUCUCGGCGCGGGAAAAAGGAACGUUGAUUAACCGUUUUAUUUUUGGUGCUGAAGCAAAUAUUCAAAUUUGUCGCGAGUUACGAAUGCGAAUCGGUUGCCGUGCCGAAGAACAGAAAAGGAAAUCCACGGACUAUCGGCUGGAUUAUUAUUCCAAGCAUGCCUCUCGGACGUCCAUUGCUUCUGAAACAUUCCACGAUACGAUACAUGGUGUCAGUCGAAGACCAACGCUUCUUCGUGAACGUGCAAGUGUGGCGCGAUCGGGAUACGCUUGCGAACAAUAAUCUCGCAGAAGGUGUCUAGUCAGUCUCUACGAAGUGUAAGCUGAUUGGUUUAACGAAGACCUGCUCAAAGUUCCGAAAAUGAUCAGGAGGCAGAGAUCCUCAUGUUCGUGUCAGAGAUUCAUCCACAUUCGCAACUUUAUCCGAUGAUGAGACGUAAGCAAACUUUAGGAAGACAUAUUGCGUGUGAGUUGAGAAUGACAGGUGGAAAGGUGGUUGAAUAGUAUAUGACAUGGGGCCGAUGUUAUGAAGAGACAAAUAGUACAGUUGCGAUUUAUCGAGUUAGAUCCCAAAUCCUCCUUUGUGUAAUUUUAAUUCUCUAGCAUGUAGCGUGCAUUAAUUGCUCCUCGUCUCUUUAUCUACUUUUGAUUUACUUAAUAUUGUGCUAGAAAGACUUUUAAUAUAUGUGCUGCGCAAGGAGAAUUACGAAUUGCUUUCAAAUAAAGUAUA
This is an RNA transcript of Temnothorax curvispinosus, 1286 nucleotides long. RefSeq lists it as uncharacterized. Lineage: Eukaryota; Metazoa; Arthropoda; Insecta; Hymenoptera; Formicidae. The record is from RefSeq and is a predicted model, not a curated record. The transcript is spliced from 4 exons.